GGGGUUGUGGCUCAGUGGUAGAGUGCUUGCCUAGCAUGCAUGAGGCAGUGGGUUCAAUCCCA
Molecule: transfer RNA, 62 nt
Filed under: Marmota marmota marmota (Alpine marmot)
Lineage: Eukaryota; Metazoa; Chordata; Mammalia; Rodentia; Sciuridae
Also listed under: 4 other names
Rfam family: tRNA
About the family: Transfer RNA (tRNA) molecules are approximately 80 nucleotides in length. Their secondary structure includes four short double-helical elements and three loops (D, anti-codon, and T loops). Further hydrogen bonds mediate the characteristic L-shaped molecular structure. tRNAs have two regions of fundamental functional importance: the anti-codon, which is responsible for specific mRNA codon recognition, and the 3' end, to which the tRNAs corresponding amino acid is attached (by aminoacyl-tRNA synthetases). tRNAs cope with the degeneracy of the genetic code in two manners: having more than one tRNA (with a specific anti-codon) for a particular amino acid; and 'wobble' base-pairing, i.e. permitting non-standard base-pairing at the 3rd anti-codon position.
Source: Rfam by way of RNAcentral